This 116-nucleotide ribosomal RNA is filed under the name Pteropus alecto (black flying fox). RNAcentral also lists the same sequence under 1 other name. Lineage: Eukaryota; Metazoa; Chordata; Mammalia; Chiroptera; Pteropodidae. The record is from RNAcentral.
GUCUAUGGCCAUGCCACCCUGAACAAGCCCAAUGUCUGAUCUCGGAAGCUAAGGAGGGUCAGGCCUGGUUAGUACUUGGAUGGGAGACUACCUAGGAAGACCAGGUACUGUAAGCA